Gallus gallus (chicken) is the source of this 718-nucleotide long non-coding RNA. NCBI's taxonomy places the organism in Eukaryota, Metazoa, Chordata, Aves, Galliformes, Phasianidae. The record is from Ensembl.
CAGCCGUUUCCUGCUUUCUUCCUUGGAGGGAGGUGCUGGUCUCCACACACGCUUUGCUUUUCAAUGAAGCAUAUAAAUGAAGUGUGUGUAAUCACAAAGACAAAAUACAAGUGACUCAAAUUUACAGGUGGUGCAGCCAGAAAUGCAUUCCAGAAACUAAAGAUGCGCAGUAACACCAUACAGCCUGAAUUUGAAAAAAAAGCCACUAUGGUGUGUGUGGAGCUGCGCAUGGAGAAUGCUGUAUCCACAGAGCCUGCUGUUGGUGUCCUGGUCUGCUCUCACGUGCCUGUUCUUUGGAGAUCAGGAAGGAAUUCAGUUGGGGCUGAAUGGCAAGCUGUGCCACUGUAUUGUUGGUAGAUCACCACCCUUGUAAGAAAAUAAAAAUACCCACCAUACACCAUGAAGGAACCUCCUUUUGAUCUUCUCUGAGUAUGUAGGUCACUUAAUGUGAAUAGGAUUUAGAAGCCAUUUUUACAGCACUUGGUUUUUAUUUGCCACAAAAUGCUCAUGGUGGAUGCUAUAAAAAACAAAAGUUUUAAAUAGACCUAAGCUUUUAUCUCCAUUUGUGUAUCAUAUGGAAUACCUUAUUUGUACUGAUAGGUUUUUGUUCAAGAUCUCCCUGUGUCAGGAAAUUUUUUGUUCUGAUAGACCUCGCUCAAUUAUCUUCAACACAAAAAGAGACAGAGCAUGUCUCCAACUUUAUGCUGCCCAGGGAGGA